GAUCUCCUACGGGAGGCAGCAGUGGGGAAUCUGGCACAAUGGGCGAAAGCCUGAUGCAGCCAUGCCGCGUGAAUGAUGAAGGCCUUAGGGUUGUAAAAUUCUUUCGCCAGGGAUGAUAAUGACAGUACCUGGUAAAGAAGCCCCGGCUAACUUCGUGCCAGCAGCCGCGGUAAUACGAAGGGGGCUAGCGUUGUUCGGAAUUACUGGGCGUAAAGCGCACGUAGGCGGACUUUUAAGUCAGAUGUGAAAUCCCGGGGCUCAACCUCGGAACUGCAUUUGAAACUGGAAGUCUAGAGACCAGGAGAGGUUAGCGGAAUACCGAGUGUAGAGGUGAAAUUCGUAGAUAUUCGGUGGAACACCAGUGGCGAAAGCGGCA
RNAcentral lists this ribosomal RNA (376 nucleotides) under uncultured Alphaproteobacteria bacterium. Its description in RNAcentral is "bacterial SSU rRNA". It matches the Rfam family "Bacterial small subunit ribosomal RNA", at positions 333 to 726 of the family's 1533-position model. Lineage: Bacteria; Pseudomonadati; Pseudomonadota; Alphaproteobacteria. The record is from RNAcentral.